RNAcentral lists this ribosomal RNA (521 nucleotides) under uncultured bacterium. RNAcentral's name for it is "partial 16S ribosomal RNA". It matches the Rfam family "Bacterial small subunit ribosomal RNA", at positions 28 to 523 of the family's 1533-position model. The record is from RNAcentral.
GACGAACGCUGGCGGCGUGCCUAAUACAUGCAAGUCGAGCGGGCCUCCGGAGGUGCUUGCACCUCCGGAAGGCCAGCGGCGGACGGGUGAGUAACACGUGGGCAACCUGCCUUUGAGGCCGGGAUAACACCGGGAAACCGGUGCUAAUACCGGAUACGUCCUCUUUCGCGCCUGCGAGAGGGGAGAAAGACGGUCUUUAAGGCCGUCGCUCAAAGAGGGGCCCGCGGCGCAUUAGCGUGUUGGUGGGGUAAGGGCCUACCAAGGCGACGAUGCGGUGCUGAACUGAGAGGGUGCUCGGCCACACUGGGACUGAGACACGGCCCGGACUCCUGAGGGAGGCAGCAAUAGGGAAUCCUCCGCAAUGGGCGAAAGCCUGACGGUGCAACGCCGCGUGAGUGAGGAAGGUUUUCGGAUCGUAAAGCUCUGUUGUGAGGGAAGAACAGCUUCCGGAGGAAAUGCCGGAGGGUUGCCGGUACCUCACCAGAAAGCCCCGGCUAACUACGUGCCAGCAGCCGCGGUAA